RNAcentral lists this long non-coding RNA (1146 nucleotides) under Numida meleagris (helmeted guineafowl). Its description in RNAcentral is "lncRNA (ENSNMEG00000004984.1)". The record is from RNAcentral. Lineage: Eukaryota; Metazoa; Chordata; Aves; Galliformes; Numididae.
AUGUGUGUGGAACACGAAAGAGGGACCAGCUUUGGAAAUUAUAAGAACAACAACUUCCCUAAUCUUCUGAAAAUCCAGUACCCCCCAACACCUGAGGUUGGCAGACUGGAAUCACUAUUUUCAAAUGUUGUCAGUCAUUGCAUAUUUGUGUCAUCCAAGGAAAUCUUCACAGUGCACAGGGAGACUACACACUUUCCAGUGGAGCUCAUUCUCCUUCAUUUCUUCUCAAACCCUGGUUGCUCCAAGAUGUCACAGUCCUGGAUCCUUUUUAAGCUAAAGAAACCACAAGAUGUCCUUUAAAGUUUGCUUUCUUUUUCAUCCUAAUAUUUUUUAAGUGGUUGAUUGACGGUAGACUACAUAUACGCAGCCAUGAAUGGGAUUUUCAAAGGAAAUAGUAUAACUAAUUGACAUUGGAUAUAAGUGGGUUUUAGGCACACGCUUUGCUAGAAUUAGUUGGAAAACCUCACUGUAAUUCUUCAGGCUCAGUGGGUGGGAUUUUCACAGGAACAGUUACCUAACUAUGCAAGUUAGGUAACUAAAAAGUGGAUCUGACAUCCCAACUUUCUUUAUCAUUUCCAAUAACUUCAGAACCAUUUCAUUAUGACUCUCUGCAAAUUGAAUUUGCUUUCUUUGUGUCUCUUGAAUUAUGACAAUUAUGAAGUGUUGUUUGGAAGGUACAACUGAAAGUCUUUAGCUCAACCUCUUUCAAAUCAGGAGCAACCAAAUGAUAACAACUGCCAGAUCAAGUUUUAUCUAUGUUCUAGACAAUUCUUAAAAAUCUCUGGGAAUGGAGAUUCCACAAUUUCUUCCAAGCCAUCUUUUCCACUUUAGCUUCCAAUAGCUUAAGCUAUUCUCCUAAUGUUUCUUGCCAUAUGGAAACCAAACAUAUUGGUCCUCACCUGAUUUCCAUCUAACACUACCAGUGAAUGUUUCACACUGUUUUCACUGAUCAAGAAUUACACAGAGAUGAUCUUAUCCUGAAGUACAAAGAUUUUCUGAAUAAUACUUUAUGCUCCUUUCCAGCCUGUGUCCAUAUGUGAUAGGGAAAGUUACGGAAUAUAUUAAAACUAUGUUAGGCUACAAGUAAGAGGUUUUUUUGUUUUUCAAACAAUUAUAGACGCUUAAAAACCUAGUUCUUGGUGAACC